Molecule: ribosomal RNA, 1064 nt
Filed under: uncultured bacterium
Lineage: Bacteria
Description: bacterial SSU rRNA
Rfam family: Bacterial small subunit ribosomal RNA
Source: RNAcentral
CANNNNUUCCUUUUGNCGUUUAGCCUGCCAGAAGAAGCCCCCGGGCCUAACUUCCCGUGCCCAGCAGCCCGCGGUAAAUACGGAGGGGUGCGAGCGUUUAAUUCGGAAUUUCCUGGGGCGUAAAGCGCCAUGCAGGUGGUUUUGUUAAGUCAGAUGUGAAAGCCCGGGGCUCAACCUUCGGAAUUGCAUUUGAAACUGGCAAACUAGAGUACUGUAGAGGGGGGUAGAAUUUCAGGUGUAGCGGUGAAAUGCGUAGAGAUCUGAAGGAAUACCGGUGGCGAAGGCGGCCCCCUGGACAGAUACUGACACUCAGAUGCGAAAGCGUGGGGAGCAAACAGGAUUAGAUACCCUGGUAGUCCACGCCGUAAACGAUGUCUACUUGGAGGUUGUGGCCUUGAGCCGUGGCUUUCGGAGCUAACGCGUUAAGUAGACCGCCUGGGGAGUACGGUCGCAAGAUUAAAACUCAAAUGAAUUGACGGGGGCCCGCACAAGCGGUGGAGCAUGUGGUUUAAUUCGAUGCAACGCGAAGAACCUUACCUACUCUUGACAUCUACAGAAGCCAGCGGAGACGCAGGUGUGCCUUCGGGAACUGUAAGACAGGUGCUGCAUGGCUGUCGUCAGCUCGUGUUGUGAAAUGUUGGGUUAAGUCCCGCAACGAGCGCAACCCUUAUCCUUGUUUGCCAGCACUUCGGGUGGGAACUCCAGGGAGACUGCCGGUGAUAAACCGGAGGAAGGUGGGGACGACGUCAAGUCAUCAUGGCCCUUACGAGUAGGGCUACACACGUGCUACAAUGGCGCAUACAGAGGGCGGCCAACUUGCGAAAGUGAGCGAAUCCCAAAAAGUGCGUCGUAGUCCGGAUUGGAGUCUGCAACUCGACUCCAUGAAGUCGGAAUCGCUAGUAAUCGUGGAUCAGAAUGCCACGGUGAAUACGUUCCCGGGCCUUGUACACACCGCCCGUCACACCAUGGGAGUGGGCUGCAAAAGAAGUGGGUAGUUUAACCUUCGGGAGGACGCUCACCACUUUGUGGUUCAUGACUGGGGUGAAGUCGUAACAAGGUAACCG